GAGAAAAGCAGCUUUCAGCCGGAUCCAGGCCGCGGAUGUCCCGCAGCGCCUCAGCCUGGUGGCCCUGUGGUCCGGAUAGGACGGGCUCCAGGCUCAGAGGAGGCAACUGACACACAGACUUGCAGCCUUUUUUCCAGCGACACCCACAUACGCUUUCCAGGUAUGAAAUUCCAUGAUACAAGCAGAAUCCAAGGACCUCGACCUGGGUGGAAGCUCACAAGUUUAGCUAAUCUGUCUCCUCACCAUAUGAUGAAGAUAUUGUGAUCCCAUUUUGCAGAUAUGACAGCUGGGGUCCCAGAGAGGAUACGCAGUGUUGUGUGACUGCUGAGCUCUCGAAGGCAUUUGUAUGAACUCACGCUGACCAUGGGUGUUUUCCCUGUGCCUUCAGCUCCGGAGCUGUGUGGACAGGGCAUGUACCGCUGUGGCUCAAGCAGUGUGACCCAGAGGACGUGCCGGGUUCAAAAGGCGUUUCUCCUAUCUGCUGUGUUUGGGCUUUACUGAAUCUCUACUGCACUCUGAAGAUUUGAAGGCUUAUUGAUAACUGUGUGAUUUCCACAAUUCUGUACUCAAAUGUUGGCAUCAAGUAUUGUAGGGUUCCAUUCUACAGAAAGGGGAAGCAAGGCUGCCAGAGGCUGGAUGCCUUGAACAAGGGGGUGUGGAUCCACUUCCUGCAGGAAGCUGCCCAGUUUAAAGGUCUGGAGCCAUCUAAUCUGCCUGCUAGCAGCCACCCGAUGUCCUGGGAGCCUCUACCUGCAAAUAACUUGAAGGACAAGAGUGACAACUGCCGUGUGCUGUGCACCAUCUACUUUCAGCUGGAAGUGUCCAUCCCGUUUCAUCUCUUCAUUCCUGUGGACGAUCCUUGGGCACAGGGUUAAUCCAGGAGGAGGAUUUAGUAACAAGGUUGCCUGGCCUCUGGGCCUGGGCGGGAGAGCUGUUGUUCCAGCCCUGUCCCUCAGCCACACUGAUCAGAGUGGGGCUCCGAGCUUCAUUUGGGAGACAGAGCAGCAGUCACCCUGAAUCUCACCCUGCAGACUCUGGGGGUUCAGAGGUUGGGAGGGCAGAGCUGCAGGCCCAGGCAGCAAGAGUAGGUGGAGACUUCGCAGCAGCUGCAGCAAAAGGGAAGGACUGGCCGAGAGUGCUGCACUCUGUGCUCCCAGACAUCUGGAGGAAACUUUGGGCAUGCGCAGGACCUCAAGCCUGGCAGCCAGCUGUGAAGGCCGGUGCCCAUGAGACACUCAGCUCAUGUCAUUUCUCCCAUCCGACAGGGGAGUCCACCUGCCCAGCCCCACCUGGAGUCCUUUCACUUCGCCUUGCAGCAGGAAAGUGCCCAGAGAUGUUAGCCAAGGCCACAGUUGGCCAUUGCUGCCCUAGAGGCUUAUACGUGGGUCUUGGACUCCAGGGACACCGGUGAGGUCACUGGGCCUCAGAGGCUGGAGUUGGGGGCACCAGUGUGCCCCAUGGUGAUGUCUGAAGAACGCAUCCCAUCCCAUGAGUCCUUUCGCAGGGCAGGCGCUGGGCUCUGAAAGCUGCCCUCACAAAGAUGCCUGCAGCUCCCACUCUUUCCAGAGGAGCCAUCAGCCCUCGGCUAGGAGGGCAAAGGUCACUGUGCUGAGAGAAUGACCUCUUUCUCUCAGAAAGCUGCUGCUUUCAGAGCUGUGGCCACCCCAGCCUGGCCAUCACGCAGGCCUGCACCAAGAAAUAAAAGGUUCUCACAGCCGGGUAGGCGCUGUGACACAGUUUAAUUUGCUGUAA
RNAcentral lists this long non-coding RNA (1752 nucleotides) under Heterocephalus glaber (naked mole-rat). RNAcentral's name for it is "lncRNA (ENSHGLG00100035574.1)". Lineage: Eukaryota; Metazoa; Chordata; Mammalia; Rodentia; Bathyergidae. The record is from RNAcentral.